GACGAACGCUGGCGGCGUGCUUAACACAUGCAAGUCGAACGGAAAGGCCCUGCUUUUGUGGGGUGCUCGAGUGGCGAACGGGUGAGUAACACGUGAGUAACCUGCCCUUGACUUUGGGAUAACUUCAGGAAACUGGGGCUAAUACCGGAUAGGAGCUCCUGCUGCAUGGUGGGGGUUGGAAAGUUUCGGCGGUUGGGGAUGGACUCGCGGCUUAUCAGCUUGUUGGUGGGGUAGUGGCUUACCAAGGCUUUGACGGGUAGCCGGCCUGGGAGGGUGACCGGCCACAAUGGGACUGAGAUACGGCCCAGACUCCUACGGGAGGCAGCAGUGGGGAAUAUUGCACAAUGGGCGGAAGCCUGAUGCAGCAACGCCGCGUGCGGGAUGACGGCCUUCGGGUUGUAAACCGCUUUCGACUGUGACGAAGCGUGAGUGACGGUAAUGGGUAAAGAAGCACCGGCUAACUACGUG
RNAcentral lists this ribosomal RNA (468 nucleotides) under uncultured bacterium. RNAcentral's name for it is "partial 16S ribosomal RNA". It matches the Rfam family "Bacterial small subunit ribosomal RNA", at positions 28 to 507 of the family's 1533-position model. The record is from RNAcentral.